This 499-nucleotide ribosomal RNA is filed under the name uncultured bacterium. RNAcentral's name for it is "partial 16S ribosomal RNA". It matches the Rfam family "Bacterial small subunit ribosomal RNA", at positions 30 to 523 of the family's 1533-position model. The record is from RNAcentral.
AUUGAACGCUGGCGGAAUGCUUUACACAUGCAAGUCGAACGGCAGCACGGACUUCGGUCGGGUGGCGAGUGGCGAACGGGUGAGUAAUGUAUCGGAACGUGCCCAGUCGUGGGGGAUAACGUAGUGAAAAUUACGCUAAUACCGCAUACGAUCUAUGGAUGAAAGCGGGGGAUCGCAAGACCUCGCGCGAUUGGAGCGGCCGGUAUCAGAUUAGGUAGUUGGUGGGGUAAAGGCCCACCAAGCCAACGAUCUGUAGCUGGUCUGAGAGGACGACCAGCCACACUGGAACUGCGACACGGUCCAGACUCCUACGGGAGGCAGCAGUGGGGAAUUUUGGACAAUGGGCGAAAGCCUGAUCAGCCAUUCCGCGUGCAGGAUGAAGGCCCUCGGGUUGUAAACUGCUUUUGUACAGAACGAAAAGGUUUCUACUAAUACUAGGAGCUCAUGACGGUACUGUAAGAAUAAGCACCGGCUAACUACGUGCCAGCCGCCGCGGUAA